Molecule: small nucleolar RNA, 132 nt
Organism: Hevea brasiliensis (rubber tree)
Lineage: Eukaryota; Viridiplantae; Streptophyta; Magnoliopsida; Malpighiales; Euphorbiaceae
Product: small nucleolar RNA snoR111
Exons: 1
Source: RefSeq, a predicted model, not a curated record
GUUAUGGAGAGGAGAGACGGAUUGGGAGUGUCUCUUUUCUUCGAAAGAACGGCAGGUAUAACAAAUCCAUGGCCGAGAUAUCGUUUCAGUCGUCAUUCUUCCAUUGACGAUUCGAUUGUUGCUCGUCCACAU